RNAcentral lists this ribosomal RNA (253 nucleotides) under uncultured bacterium. RNAcentral's name for it is "partial 16S ribosomal RNA". It matches the Rfam family "Bacterial small subunit ribosomal RNA", at positions 524 to 776 of the family's 1533-position model. The record is from RNAcentral.
UACGGGGGGAGCAAGCGUUGUUCGGAAUUACUGGGCGUAAAGCGCACGUAGGCGGCUUUGUAAGUUAGAGGUGAAAGCCCGGGGCUCAACUCCGGAAUUGCCUUUAAGACUGCAUCGCUUGAAUCAUGGAGAGGUGAGUGGAAUUCCGAGUGUAGAGGUGAAAUUCGUAGAUAUUCGGAAGAACACCAGUGGCGAAGGCGACUCACUGGACAUGUAUUGACGCUGAGGUACGAAAGCGUGGGGAGCAAACAGG